This is a long non-coding RNA of Colletes gigas, 176 nucleotides long. RefSeq lists it as uncharacterized. The transcript has 2 exons. The record is from RefSeq and is a predicted model, not a curated record. Lineage: Eukaryota; Metazoa; Arthropoda; Insecta; Hymenoptera; Colletidae.
ACUUGAGUAGACUACGUUAGUCGAGUUACAACCGAUUGCAUAACGUUUAUCAACCGUCGCGUUGUGAAUCUGUUAUAGAGGAACUAAGGCAGUGUUGCAUCUUACACAAGGCUAAGUCGACGGUUUGCGAGGGUAUCGAUAUUUCUAAGCCGUACGAGCAUAAUACAGUGAAUUAU